GGUUCGAUCCUGGCUCAGAUUGAACGCUGGCGGGAUACUUUACACAUGCAAGUCGAACGGCAGCACGGACUUCAGUCUGGUGGCGAGUGGCGAACGGGUGAGUAAUGUAUCGGAACGUGCCUAGUAGCGGGGGAUAACUACGCGAAAGCGUAGCUAAUACCGCAUACGCCCUUCGGGGAAAGCGGGGGACCUUCGGGCCUCGCACUAUUGGAAGCGGCCGAUAUCGGAUUGGCUAGUUGGUGGGGGUAACGGCUCGCAAGGCGACGAUCCGUAGCUGGUUUGAGGAAGGACGAC
This 294-nucleotide unclassified non-coding RNA is filed under the name uncultured Bordetella sp. RNAcentral describes it as "partial 16S-23S ribosomal RNA intergenic spacer". It matches the Rfam family "Bacterial small subunit ribosomal RNA", at positions 10 to 304 of the family's 1533-position model. Lineage: Bacteria; Pseudomonadati; Pseudomonadota; Betaproteobacteria; Burkholderiales; Alcaligenaceae. The record is from RNAcentral.